UACGUAGGGUGCGAGCGUUAAUCGGAAUUACUGGGCGUAAAGCGUGCGCAGGCGGUUAUGUAAGACAGAUGUGAAAUCCCAGGGCUCAACCUUGGAGCUGCAUUUGUGACUGCAUAGCUAGAGUACGGUAGAGGGGGAUGGAAUUCCGCGUGUAGCAGUGAAAUGCGUAGAUAUGCGGAGGAACACCGAUGGCGAAGGCAAUCCCCUGGACCUGUACUGGCGCUCAUGCACGAAAGCGUGGGGAGCAAACAUG
Molecule: ribosomal RNA, 253 nt
Filed under: uncultured bacterium
Lineage: Bacteria
Description: partial 16S ribosomal RNA
Rfam family: Bacterial small subunit ribosomal RNA
Source: RNAcentral